Homo sapiens (human) is the source of this 1003-nucleotide long non-coding RNA. Ensembl annotates it as long intergenic non-protein coding RNA 1182. Lineage: Eukaryota; Metazoa; Chordata; Mammalia; Primates; Hominidae. The record is from Ensembl.
GCCAAACUCUGGGCAUCUCACAGGGAGAGACAAUGCCAAGCUCACCACUAUUACUCCACCUUUGCACAAAGAUCAGGAGGCCAUCUGUUGAGAUGAGAACCUGUGAAGAUGGAAGGAACCUAGAUGUUUGAGUCAUGGGGUGGAGAAGAGACCAUGUAAACCUACAUUGAAAUUUGUGUGACUCCCUCCCCCUCAACCAGCUUAGAAGUCGGGUGGAAGAGGAAGCUGGAUGGAACAACAUGAGCCCUGGUCAGGGCAGACUUAAGCCAGGAGAUGAAGUGCCAUAUACAGAGAAAACCUCAGUGGGAUCCCAGAUGGAGCACAAUUCCUGGCUGAGCAGAGUCCCUGAGGCCGAGAAAACGAGCACAGUGCUGACUGCUUGGAAUCCGGUAAUAUUUCCCUUCAGGCUGCUGCUCUGACUGGCUUUUCAGAAGAGUGUUGCUUCUAAUAGAAAAUUCCUUAUUUUCACCUGUGAAGAAAUCUGAUUUGGACAGUGAGUAUCUUUUGUCUUCUGAAAUGCUAAUUUUUACAACAUUGAGACAGCAGCUGCAGACGUGGAUUUGACAGUCCACCUCCCUUCUACAGCACAGCUGAGUAAAGAGAGUAUGACUUGAGCAUGUAGGUAAGACAGUUUUCAUCCUUAACCAUCACAGCUGGAGAGAUCUUGAUCUUCAUGGUGCUCCCUCCAUACAUUCUAUAGACUUAAUUUUUGGUAGGUACAGUGUGAUGUGUAACUUUUCCAAGAUCAGAGAAUAUCAGGGAGAAUAUCAUAGGCACCAUCUGUCUGUUUUUCAGAGAUAUCCAAACUAUGGCCCAGUGAUUUAUUAUGUAUUAAUUCAACAAUGGCAACAGCACCAUUCUGCCAAACCUUAAUUACUCUCUAUUUGAGGUUGGAUGAAGUCAGAGCUUUGGUUCUAGCCAGUACUCGGUUUAACUGCUCAGAUCUGAGCAUCAAGAUUUUAUGAAACCCCAUCUCUAUUGAAUUUACAAAAAAAAAAAAAAA